RNAcentral lists this small RNA (27 nucleotides) under Bombyx mori (domestic silkworm). Its description in RNAcentral is "ovarian small RNA-35339". The record is from RNAcentral. Lineage: Eukaryota; Metazoa; Arthropoda; Insecta; Lepidoptera; Bombycidae.
UGUAAGUGCGUGUGAGUGUAAUGUAGU